CCUUUCCGGGGGCCUCAGGCGUUUAGCAGUGGAUGCAGGUCGUGAGAAGGUGUAAUUGAAGCCACAUUUCUCCUGCCUUUGUUCUCCUCAGUGGGAAAAUGUCUGUGACUUCUGCUGGUGACGGAACCACAGACACUCCUGACGGUGGUUGGCUCCCUACGUUCCUAGGUUAAGGGUACAGCCAGAUUUCAGCUCCAGCUCGGAGAUCUGAAAGGUGCAAAUGUUCACCAGUCCCCAAGGUUUCUUUCGGGGAACCGGGGUAACGCCGAUCACAUGAAGUGUUGGAGGGACCCCAAAAUGAAUCAGAAUGGAGCCCAUGGCUUCAGGCGUUUUUUAAUUCACUUUUUGACCGAGGUACAGUUGACGAAUACUGUGUUAGUUUCAGCCGCCCCACGUAGGGACUCGGUGUCUGUGCACCUUGUGAAAUGAUCGCUGCCAUUGUGUGGCCAACGUCUGUCAUUUUACACAGUGACAAAAAACCUUCUGGGUGAUGAGCAUGUUCCAGAUUUACUCUCUUAGCAAAACUGGCAGCUGUGUAAUAGAGUAUUAUUGACUGCAUGAACUUUGGUUACUUGUGCAUCGACCUCAAUGUGUAAUCCGCUAUGUAAAUAACAUAUCUGCA
This is a long non-coding RNA of Leopardus geoffroyi (Geoffroy's cat), 622 nucleotides long. RefSeq lists it as uncharacterized. The transcript has 2 exons. The record is from RefSeq and is a predicted model, not a curated record. Lineage: Eukaryota; Metazoa; Chordata; Mammalia; Carnivora; Felidae.